Molecule: long non-coding RNA, 203 nt
Organism: Python bivittatus (Burmese python)
Lineage: Eukaryota; Metazoa; Chordata; Lepidosauria; Squamata; Pythonidae
Source: RefSeq, a predicted model, not a curated record
CGGGCGGGCAUGCCCCUCCUCCUUAAUCCGUCUCAAGCUGGUACGAGCACAAGGCGAGCAACGUGAGGCACCCCGCGCCGCUGCCGGGAGAUAUCAUCCAGCUUCAGAGGUAGACCAGCCAUCUGUCGAAGCUCCUAGUCUGCUGUUUGAGAGUGUCACAAAGUGUCCUGCGAUCAUGCAAUUGCCAUUUGUGCACUUCACGA